This 301-nucleotide ribosomal RNA is filed under the name uncultured bacterium. Its description in RNAcentral is "partial 16S ribosomal RNA". It matches the Rfam family "Bacterial small subunit ribosomal RNA", at positions 509 to 807 of the family's 1533-position model. The record is from RNAcentral.
CAGCCGCCGCGGUAAUACAGAGGGUGCGAGCGUUAAUCGGAUUUACUGGGCGUAAAGCGUGUGUAGGUUGUUCGCCAAGUUGGAUGUGAAAUCCUCGGGCUCAACCUGGGAACUGCAUCCAAAACUGGCGAGCUAGAGUAUGGUAGAGGGUGGUGGAAUUUCCUGUGUAGCGGUGAAAUGCGUAGAUAUAGGAAGGAACAUCAGUGGCGAAGGCGACCACCUGGACUGAUACUGACGCUGAGGUGCGAAAGCGUGGGGAGCAAACAGGAUUAGAUACCCCAGUAGUCCCUGUCUCUUAUAC